RNAcentral lists this ribosomal RNA (465 nucleotides) under uncultured bacterium. RNAcentral describes it as "partial 16S ribosomal RNA". It matches the Rfam family "Bacterial small subunit ribosomal RNA", at positions 338 to 795 of the family's 1533-position model. The record is from RNAcentral.
CCUACGUGUGGCAGCAGUGGGGAAUAUUGCGCAAUGGGCGAAAGCCUGACGCAGCGACGCCGCGUGAGGGAUGAAGGUCUUCGGAUCGUAAACCUCUGUCAGCAGGGAAGAACGGUCACUGUGCUAAUCAGCAGUGAAUUGACGGUACCUGCAAAGGAAGCACCGGCUAACUCCGUGCCAGCAGCCGCGGUAAUACGGAGGGUGCAAGCGUUAAUCGGAAUUACUGGGCGUAAAGCGCGCGUAGGCGGUAUGACAAGUCAAGGGUGAAAUCCCCGCGCUCAACGGGGGAACUGCCUUUGAAACUGGCAAACUGGAGUGUGGGAGAGGAUUGUGGAAUUCCAGGUGUAGGAGUGAAAUCCGUAGAUAUCUGGAGGAACAUCAGUGGCGAAGGCGACUAUCUGGCACAUAACUGACGCUGAGGAGCGAAAGCGUGGGUAGCAAACAGGAUUAGAUACCCUUGUAGUC